Long non-coding RNA from Raphanus sativus (radish), 1001 nucleotides. RefSeq lists it as uncharacterized. The record is from RefSeq and is a predicted model, not a curated record. The transcript is spliced from 2 exons. Lineage: Eukaryota; Viridiplantae; Streptophyta; Magnoliopsida; Brassicales; Brassicaceae.
GUCUUUAAAGCAUUCUUUGAAUUGAGAGGCUGUGUGGUUUCGAUAUAAAUAUAUGUAAAGACAAGCUAAAAUUUUGAAACGCAGUGGCGAGCUAAUGUGUAUAGACAAGCUUGCUUUAGAUUUCAAUUUUGUUUGUCGACUUUGUUUCAAUUUGUUUUUUUUAUUACCAAAGUUUUAAUUCUAAAGCUUUUGUUUUUUUUUGUCAACUUUGGUCACUUUUGAACCGAACUCAAACUGAGGUAAGGAAAGAUCGAAUCCUUAACGUCAGGGUCCGAAGGCAGAGCUCAGUUGCCACUUGGCUACGAACAACCCCGACAUUCUAAAGCUUUUGUUUAUCUGAUAAAGUUUAUUUCAGAAUCUUUCGUUUAUGGGCGAUGAAUCGAUUUUUGUGUCAAUUUGUUGAUCUGUUAAUUAUCAAUCUUUUUUAAUUUGCAGGGCUAAUUAUUUUGACUUUUUAGGGUAUUGUUCUCGGAUAGACAAAGCGCUUGAUUUUAAGGAAGCUGGGAGAGUUGUAGUUCAGUUGAAAAGGGAGGAUGUGACUUUACUCAAUCCUGCCGUUGCUUCAAUUGUCUAGAUUUGUGGUGACCUCUUAUUACGAGAAAGAAAAGCAAAGAAAACAGCAUUACAAAAGACAGGAGGAGAAGGAAAAGUUGAGCUGAAAAGCAGAGAUGGAGAAGAGGAAGGAGCCCGAUGGGUGAUGGAGAGAAGUAAUUAUCCCCAUAACUAAAAACUUGAUCUGCAAAAGAAGUUGUUAAUUUAUUUUGUACAUGUUGAUCUUACGCAUUUGGAACGUGUACAAGUUUUAGCAUUUACAGUUUGACUUAUUGUGUUAAAACAAGAUGUUAACAUAGUUUGUACAUAUCGUUCGUUCCUAUGCAUUUAGAGCUUUAGGUUAUGAUGUGAGUUGUGGCAUUUAUCUGAUUUCUUACACAACACAAUUCUUUUAUACUUUUGAAAUAACUAUUUUGAACAAAGCCAACUUUGCGAAAAUAUUACGAUUA